Molecule: ribosomal RNA, 301 nt
Filed under: uncultured bacterium
Lineage: Bacteria
Description: partial 16S ribosomal RNA
Rfam family: Bacterial small subunit ribosomal RNA
Source: RNAcentral
CAGCAGCCGCGGGAAUACGGAGGGUGCAAGCGUUGUCCGGAUUUAUUGGGUUUAAAGGGUGCGUAGGUGGUCUGCUGAGUCUGGUUUGAAAGCUGGUCGCUUAACGAUCAGAUGUGGCUGGAAACUGGUGGACUUAAAUGGGUUGGCGGUAGCUGGAACGGGUCAUGUAGCGGUGAAAUGCAUAGAUAUGACCCAGAACCCCGAUUGCGAAGGCAGGCUACUACGACUUGAUUGACACUGAGGCACGAGAGCAUGGGGAGCCAACAGGAUUAGAUACCCCCGUAGUCCCUGUCUCUUAUAC